AUGGCAGCUUCAGCUCUCCACUCCACUGGCACUGCGGCCAUGUCUCUCUCCCUCUUCCUGCUCGCGGCCAUCGCCGCCUCAUCAUUCUCUCCGGCCAACGCACAGGCGUCGUCGUCAUGCGCGAGCCACACCUUCUCGAGCAACCAGCUCUAUGCGUCGUGCACCGCCCUGCCGCGCCUCGGCACCACGCUGCACUACAACUACACGGCCGAGGGCAACUCGGUCGCCGUGGCGUUCCGCGCGCCGCAGACGAGCAAGGCCGGCGGGUGGGUGGCGUGGGGGCUCAACCCCAACGGCACGGGCAUGGUGGGCACGCAGGCCGUGGUGGCGUUCCGGCAUUCCAACGGCAGCCUCGUCGCGUACCCGACGAUGCUGGACAGCUACGCGCCGUCCAUGGCGCCCGCGGACGGCGCCGAGCUGGCGUUCCCCGUGUCGGACGUGGCGGCCGAGUACGCCAAGAACGGCAAGGAGAUGGUCGUGUACGCGACGGUCGCGCUGCCCGGGAAGGGGAGCAAGUUCACCCACGUCUGGCAGCAGGGGGGCUCCGUGGUGGACGACGUGCCGGCGGCGCACCCCACCACCGGGGAUAACGUGCUCUCCACGGGCACCAUCGAUUUCAGCAAGUGA
RNAcentral lists this ribosomal RNA (627 nucleotides) under Triticum aestivum (bread wheat). Its description in RNAcentral is "partial small subunit ribosomal RNA". The record is from RNAcentral. Lineage: Eukaryota; Viridiplantae; Streptophyta; Magnoliopsida; Poales; Poaceae.